CCCUGAGCAGGACAUUAUAUACAGCACAGUGAGCCACACCAGAGAAACAGCACAGCAGCAGGCCCCAUUUCCUGAAGAUAAUGAUGAUGUCACAUACAGCACUGUCAUCCCCCAGCACAAGGCCCAACUAAAAGUACAGGCCAAGGCAGCAGAACCAGAUGAUAAUGUGGUCUACAGCUCACUAGCUCUACAGGUGACCACACAGAGGGCAGCAGCAGCACAGCAGUGACUGACUGAGUGUCCUUGGUGGAGUCCUUAUCCUGGAAGGACAGCCCACUCCCCUCUCCUGGGUCUCAACAUCUAUCUGCCUCCAAUAUGCUUCUGUCAUACCUCUUAACCCACCCCAGA
Molecule: long non-coding RNA, 348 nt
Organism: Coregonus clupeaformis (lake whitefish)
Lineage: Eukaryota; Metazoa; Chordata; Actinopteri; Salmoniformes; Salmonidae
Exons: 4
Source: RefSeq, a predicted model, not a curated record